RNAcentral lists this long non-coding RNA (1071 nucleotides) under Zonotrichia albicollis (white-throated sparrow). RNAcentral's name for it is "lncRNA (ENSZALG00000007466.1)". Lineage: Eukaryota; Metazoa; Chordata; Aves; Passeriformes; Passerellidae. The record is from RNAcentral.
AUGCCUCAGUUUUCCCUUUGUGCCUCAGUUUCCCCCUUUGUGCCUCAGUUUCUCCAUCCUGCCUCAGUUUCCCAUCAUGCCUCAGUUUCCCCAUCGUGCCUCAGUUUCUCCAUCGUGCCUCAGUUUCCCAACCGUGCCUCAGUUUCCCCAUCGUGCCUCAGUUUCCCCCUCUGUGCCUCAGUUUCCCCCUUGGUGCCUCAGUUUCCCCUUUGUGCCUCAGUUUCCCCUCUGUGCCUCAGUUUCCCCUUGGUGCCUCAGUUUCCCCUUGGUGCCUCAGUUUCCCACCGUGCCUCAGUUUCCCUUUGUGCCUCAGUUUCCCCUUUUGUGCCUCAGUUUCCCCUCUGUGCCUCAGUCUCCCCUUUUGUGCCUCAGUUUCCCUUUGUGCCUCAGUUUCAACCUGUGUGCCUCAGUUUCCCAUCGUGCCUCAGUUUCCCUUUGAGCCUCAGUUUCCCCCUUUGUGCCUCAGUUUCCCAUCGUGCCUCAGUUUCCCCUCUGUGCCUCAGUUUCCCUUUGUGCCUCAGUUUCCCCUCGUGCCUCAGUUUCCCCUCUGUGCCUCAGUUUCCCAUUGUGCCUCAGUUUCCCCCCGUGCCUCAGUUUCCCCUUUGUGCCUCAGUUUCCCCAUCGUGCGUCAGUUUCCCAUCGUGCCUCGGUAUCCCCUCUGUGCCUCAGUUUCCCCUCUGUGCCUCAGUUUCCCACCCUGCCUCAGUUUCCCCUCUGUGCCUCCGUUUCCCCAUCGUGCCUCAGUUUCCCCAUCGUGCCUCAGCUUCCCCUUUGUGCCUCAGUUUCCCCUUUUGUGCCUCAGUUUCCCUUUGUGCCUCAGUUUCCCCAUCAUGCCUCAGUUCCCCACCGUGCCUCAGUUUCCCCUUGUACCUCAGAUUCCCCUCUGUGCCUCAGUUUCCCCUUCGUGCCUCAGUUUCCCCUCUGUGCCUCAGUUUCCCACCAUGCCUCAGUUUCCCACAGUGCCUCAGUUUUCCCCUCUGUGCCUCAGNCAAGGUCAAGAUGAACCCAAAGUCAAGACCGAUCCAAUGUCGAGACCAAUCCAAGGCCAACCCAACAUCAAGACCAACUUGA